RNAcentral lists this ribosomal RNA (406 nucleotides) under uncultured bacterium. Its description in RNAcentral is "partial 16S ribosomal RNA". It matches the Rfam family "Bacterial small subunit ribosomal RNA", at positions 29 to 526 of the family's 1533-position model. The record is from RNAcentral.
AUUGAACGCUGGCGGCAGGCUUAACACAUGCAAGUCGAGCGAGAGGAGGACGGGUGAGUAAUGUCUGGGAAACUGCCUGAUGGAGGGGGAUAACGACGGGAAAAGGUAGCUAAUACCGCAAACCAUCAGAUGUGCCCAGGUGGGAUUAGCUAGUAGGUGGGGUAAUGGCUCACCUAGGGGCCGAUCCCUAGCUGGUCUGAGAGGAGGACCAGCCACACUGGAACUGAGGCACGUCACAGACUCCUACGGGAGGCAGCAGUGGGGAAUAUUGCCCAAUGGGCGCAAGCCUGAUGCAGCCAUGCCGCGUGUGUGAAGAAGGCCUUCGGGUUGUAAAGCUCUGUCAGCAAGGAGGCGUUACUCGCAGAAGAAGCACCGGCUAACUCCGUGCCAGCAGCCGCGGUAAUUC